This 117-nucleotide small RNA is filed under the name Marmota monax (woodchuck). Lineage: Eukaryota; Metazoa; Chordata; Mammalia; Rodentia; Sciuridae. The record is from RNAcentral.
GCCGGAUGCUGUGGUGUGCACUUGUAAUCCCAGUAGCCUGGGAGGCUGAGACAGGAGGAUUGCAAGUUCAAAGCCAGCUUCAGCAAUGCCAAGGCCCUAAACAAGACCCUGUCUCUA